UAAGGAAUAUUGGUCAAUGGACGCAAGUCUGAACCAGCCAUGCCGCGUGAAGGAUUAAGGCCCUCUGGGUUGUAAACUUCUUUUAUAGGGGAAGAAUGUGACGGUUCUCCGUCACUUGACGGUACCCUGGGAAUAAGCACCGGCUAACUCCGUGCCAGCAGCCGCGGUAAUACGGAGGGUGCAAGCGUUAUCCGGAUUCACUGGGUUUAAAGGGUGCGUAGGUGGGCAGAUAAGUCAGUGGUGAAAUCUUCCGGCUUAACCGGGAAACUGCCGUUGAUACUAUUUGUCUUAAAUAUUGCGGAGGUAAGCGGAAUAUGUCAUGUAGCGGUGAAAUGCUUAGAUAUGACAUAGAACACCAAUUGCGAAGGCAGCUUACUACACAAUCAUUGACACUGGGACACGAAAGCGUGGGUAGCGAACA
RNAcentral lists this ribosomal RNA (421 nucleotides) under uncultured bacterium. RNAcentral's name for it is "bacterial SSU rRNA". It matches the Rfam family "Bacterial small subunit ribosomal RNA", at positions 355 to 774 of the family's 1533-position model. The record is from RNAcentral.